GCGGCCUAUCAGCUUGUUGGUGAGGUAAUGGCUCACCAAGGCGACGACGGGUAGCCGGCCUGAGAGGGCGACCGGCCACACUGGGACUGAGACACGGCCCAGACUCCUACGGGAGGCAGCAGUGGGGAAUAUUGCGCAAUGGACGAAAGUCUGACGCAGCAACGCCGCGUGAGGGAUGACGGCCUUCGGGUUGUAAACCUCUUUCAAUCGGGACGAAGCGAAAGUGACGGUACCGAUACAAGAAGCACCGGCUAACUAUGUGCCAGCAGCCGCGGUAAUACAUAGGGUGCAAGCGUUGUCCGGAUUUAUUGGGCGUAAAGAGCUCGUAGGCGGUUCAUCACGUCGGAUGUGAAAGCUUGGGGCUUAACCCCAAGCCUGCAUCCGAUACGGGUGAACUAGAGAGCAGUAGGGGAGACUGGAAUUCCU
RNAcentral lists this ribosomal RNA (426 nucleotides) under uncultured Actinomycetes bacterium. Its description in RNAcentral is "bacterial SSU rRNA". It matches the Rfam family "Bacterial small subunit ribosomal RNA", at positions 233 to 671 of the family's 1533-position model. The record is from RNAcentral. Lineage: Bacteria; Bacillati; Actinomycetota; Actinomycetes.